UACGUAGGGUGCAAGCGUUGUCCGGAAUUAUUGGGCGUAAAGGGCUCGUAGGCGGUCUGUCACGUCGGGAGUGAAAACUCAGGGCUUAACCCUGAGCCUGCUUCCGAUACGGGCAGACUAGAGGUAUGCAGGGGAGAACGGAAUUCCUGGUGUAGCGGUGAAAUGCGCAUAUAUCAGGAGGAACACCGGUGGCGAAGGCGGUUCUCUGGGCAUUACCUGACGCUGAGGAGCGAAAGUGUGGGGAGCGAACAGG
This 253-nucleotide ribosomal RNA is filed under the name uncultured bacterium. RNAcentral's name for it is "partial 16S ribosomal RNA". It matches the Rfam family "Bacterial small subunit ribosomal RNA", at positions 524 to 776 of the family's 1533-position model. The record is from RNAcentral.